This 162-nucleotide ribosomal RNA is filed under the name uncultured bacterium. RNAcentral describes it as "partial 16S ribosomal RNA". It matches the Rfam family "Bacterial small subunit ribosomal RNA", at positions 355 to 509 of the family's 1533-position model. The record is from RNAcentral.
UGGGGAAGAUUGCGCAAUGGGCGAAAGCCUGACGCAGCGACGCCGCGUGAGGGAUGAAGGUCUUCGGAUCGUAAACCUCUGUCAGCAGGGAAGAACGGUCACUGUGCUAAUCAGCAGUGAAUUGACGGUACCUGCAAAGGAAGCACCGGCUAACUCCGUGCC